RNAcentral lists this ribosomal RNA (301 nucleotides) under uncultured bacterium. RNAcentral's name for it is "partial 16S ribosomal RNA". It matches the Rfam family "Bacterial small subunit ribosomal RNA", at positions 509 to 807 of the family's 1533-position model. The record is from RNAcentral.
CAGUAGCCGCGGUAAUACGAAGGGGGCUAGCGUUGUUCAGAAUUACUGGGCGCAAAGGGCGCGUAGGCGGCCGAUCAAGUCAGGCGUGAAAGCCCCGGGCUUAACCUGGGAACUGCGUUUGGGACUGGUUGGCUUGAGUUCGGGAGAGGAGAGUGGAAUUCCCAGUGUAGAGGUGAAAUUCGUAGAUAUUGGGAAGAACACCGGUGGCGAAGGCGGCUCUCUGGACCGAUACUGACGCUGAGGCGCGAAAGCGUGGGGAGCAAACAGGAUUAGAUACCCCUGUAGUCCCUGUCUCUUAUAC